GACAGAGGGGGCAAGCGUUGCUCGGAAUUACUGGGCGUAAAGCGUGCGCAGGCGGUUGGCCGUGUCCGAUGUGAAAGCCCCGGGCUUAACCUGGGAAUGGCAUUGGAAACUGGCGAGCUUGAGUGUGGCAGAGGGGGGUGGAAUUCCGCGUGUAGCAGUGAAAUGCGUAGAGAUGCGGAGGAACACCGAUGGCGAAGGCAGCCCCCUGGGCCAACACUGACGCUCAGGCACGAAAGCGUGGGGAGCAAACAGG
Molecule: ribosomal RNA, 253 nt
Filed under: uncultured bacterium
Lineage: Bacteria
Description: partial 16S ribosomal RNA
Rfam family: Bacterial small subunit ribosomal RNA
Source: RNAcentral